CAAUAGCGUAUAUUAAAGUUGUUGCAGUUAAAAAGCUCGUAGUUGGAUUUCGGGGCAGCCUGGCUGGUCCGCCGCAAGGCGAGUACUGGUCAGCCGCCCUUCCUCUCGAAAGCCCCGACUGCUCUUUAUUGCAGUGGUCGGGUAGUUCGGGACGUUUACUUUGAAAAAAUUAGAGUGUUCAAGGCAGGCCUACGCCUGAAUACAUUAGCAUGGAAUAAUGGAAGAGGACCUCGGUCCUAUUUUGUUGGUUUCCAGGACCGAAGUAAUGAUUAAGAGGGACAGUUGGGGGCAUUCGUAUUUAAUUGUCAGAGGUGAAAUUCUCGGAUUAAUGAAAGACGAACAACUGCGAAAGCAUUUGCCAAGGAUGUUUUCAUUAA
Molecule: ribosomal RNA, 377 nt
Filed under: uncultured eukaryote
Lineage: Eukaryota
Description: partial 18S ribosomal RNA
Rfam family: Eukaryotic small subunit ribosomal RNA
Source: RNAcentral